RNAcentral lists this unclassified non-coding RNA (1313 nucleotides) under Hevea brasiliensis (rubber tree). Lineage: Eukaryota; Viridiplantae; Streptophyta; Magnoliopsida; Malpighiales; Euphorbiaceae. The record is from RNAcentral.
AGGGUUGGAAUAUUUACAUGAAAACUGCACACCUAAAAUUUUUCACCGUGAUAUUAAGGCCGACAAUAUACUUAUUGAUGAUAAGUACGAGCCGAAGGUCGCAGAUUUUGGACUUGCCUUUCUUUUUCCGGAAACCGGUAGCCUUACUCACAUCACUAAAUCAAAUAAGGGAACUGAAGUAUAGUUCGAGCACUUGAAGGAUACAUGCGUCUAGAAGGAAUAUGGAAUGAGAAGAAUGACAGCAUGUUCCUGAAAAAUAACCCGACGCCUAAUGUAUCUCAUAGAGUUGAGCCUAAUGGAUCUGAUAAUGAGCCCUACAGAUCUCAGAAACAGAAGUCUUUUGUCAGUUCAGAAGCUAAUUAUAAUGGCAUUGAACCGAGGGAAUUUACACUUCGAGAACACACAAUGGCAACUUAUGAUUCCUCGGAGACCACUAAUGGCACUGAGAGGUUUCAAGAUUAUUAGCAGGGGAGAACUAAUUUUCAAGAAGAUUAUCAGCUGAGAAGAUUUACUUAUCAAGAACUAACAACGGCAACUGGAGGUUUCUCUGAGGACAACCGUCUUGACGAGGGUCCUUUGGGUCAAGUCUUUAAAGGAGACCUCAAUGGUAAAAUGGUGACAGUUAAGAAGUUCAAUAAUUCUAGGAAGCAAGAAGAAGAAUACACAAAGAUGAAAGCUAUUAACCUUAUUGGAUACUGCGAAGAAGGAGUUAAUAGACUGCUCGUUUAUGAGUUUGUUCCGCAGGACAAAUCCUUGAGAUAUUAUUUAUUUGGAGAUGAGAGAUCACAUUUGGACUGGACAACUGGAGUUCGAAUCAGCCAAGCUGCGGCGACACUAAUUUAUAUCUGGAUAUUCCAGAUAAUUGCAGUUGGAGGGAUAGAUCAUCGAAUUGGAUGGACGACUUUCUUCUUGAUGAUGAUUUUCCAAAGGUUGCAGAGGAUGGACGUGAAAUGCUUUAUUCAGAUUUCCCUACUCGUAACUCCGCUAGUUGUAUGUCUCCUGAAUGCUAGUAAUAGGAAGCUCACCGAGAAGACCAAUGCUUAUUCCUGUAGAGUAAUGCAUAUGGACAUGAUGACUGGGAGAAAUCUGGUUGAUGAUAUCAGCUUUGAUGCUCAAACUAAUAUCUGGUUGAUGAUAUCAGCUUUGAUGCUCAAACUAAUAUAGUUUAUGGAUACGUACUUGUUGCUCAAUUAAUAUAGUCCGUAGAUAUUGUUGUACAUUUGUAAAGUGUAGGCAAAAAAUUUUGAAAAUUGAAGCUUAAUUAUUUGGGGAAAAAAUUGAGCCAGUUAGAUUCCAUUUGUUUUAUAAAAAAU